CGGGACGGGUGAGUAACGCGUGGGUAACCUGCCUUACACAGGGGAUAACACUUAGAAAUAGGUGCUAAUACCGCAUGAGCGCACAGGACCGCAUGGUCGAGUGUGAAAAACUAGAGGUGGUGUAAGAUGGACCCGCGUCUGAUUAGCUAGUUGGUGAGGUAACGGCCCACCAAGGCGACGAUCAGUAGCCGGCCUGAGAGGGUGGACGGCCACAUUGGGACUGAGACACGGCCCAAACUCCUACGGGAGGCAGCAG
RNAcentral lists this ribosomal RNA (256 nucleotides) under uncultured bacterium. Its description in RNAcentral is "partial 16S ribosomal RNA". It matches the Rfam family "Bacterial small subunit ribosomal RNA", at positions 98 to 354 of the family's 1533-position model. The record is from RNAcentral.